UUUCCAAAUAGUUUAAGAAGAACGGAAUUUUGAAGAAAUUUAAGUGGUGGU
RNAcentral lists this transfer RNA (51 nucleotides) under Trioza urticae. RNAcentral's name for it is "tRNA-Phe". Lineage: Eukaryota; Metazoa; Arthropoda; Insecta; Hemiptera; Triozidae. The record is from RNAcentral.